Molecule: ribosomal RNA, 156 nt
Filed under: uncultured bacterium
Lineage: Bacteria
Description: partial 16S ribosomal RNA
Rfam family: Bacterial small subunit ribosomal RNA
Source: RNAcentral
UGAGGAAUAUUGGUCAAUGGGCUAAGGCCUGAACCAGCCAAGUCGCGUGAGGGAAGACGGUCCUAUGGAUUGUAAACCUCUUUUGUCGGGGAGCAACGAGGCCACGUGUGGCCGAAGUGAGAGUACCCGAAGAAAAGCAUCGGCUAACUCCGUGCC